This 978-nucleotide long non-coding RNA is filed under the name Mytilus galloprovincialis (Mediterranean mussel). The record is from RNAcentral. Lineage: Eukaryota; Metazoa; Mollusca; Bivalvia; Mytilida; Mytilidae.
UUAGACGAUUUCUGCAUUAUGAAAUAUGGGCAAUUUUGCCUAGUCUUAUUCUUUCCUGCCAAUAGAUAUAAGAAGAUGUGGUGUGAGUGCCAAUGAGACAAUUCUCCAUCCAAAUAACAAUAUAUAAAAGUAAACCAUUAUAAGUCAAUGUACGGCCUUUAACACGGAGCCCUGGUUCACACCGAACAAUGAGCUAUAAAUAUCCAUAUUUAGAUUGUUUUGCAAAUUAGAAUUAUAACGUGCUGUUUUCACUAUUUACGUACUUAAUGUUGUACAUGUAGUAGACGUUGAAGGUGGUCGUCUGAGAAAAUUUCUAACUUUAGUAAACAUGUAUAUAUGCUUAUAACUUCAUUAUAUUUAUUAACAUUAUAUAAAUAAGUUUAUUAUCACUGAACUAGUACAUAUUUGUUCAGCGGCCAGCUGAAGGACGCCUCCGGGUGCGAGAGUGACUGUCUCGCUGCAUUGAAGACCCAUUGGUGUACUUCGGCUGUUGUCUAUUCUAUGAUCGGGUUGUUGUCUCUUUGACACAUUCCCCAUUUCCAUUCUCAAUGUUAUGAAAAACAGCCGACGAGGCAAACAAAAAGUAAAAGGCACUAGGAGGGAAAUAUACAUGUACGAUGUUCAACAAAAGACAAGUGUCUAUUAUUUAAUAAAAUUGACAUUCGAGAUACGUUAUGCUCGUGCAUGUUUACACUAUACGGACUUGAUAUUCAGGAGUGUGCUCCUUACGCAAAAACUGCUCGAGGAAAGUUAUGAGGAGGAAAGAUUAAAAAUGACAUUUCAUACAUUUUAUGGACACCAUCACGAAUAUGUUGAUCCAAACGAUGUGUCUGUGUCUAAAUUACAAAGGACCUUUUUAACACUUCUUAGAUUGUGUUUUGCCAUUAACGUCGUCUGGUCUUUAAAGUACCGAACAUGACCUAUUCCCGAAUAUGAAUGUUUUGCUGAGUGUGAAUUCGCAUUGCUAUAAGACGUGUC